CGCCUCUUGCAAACAAAACAUAAGAGGUCCCGCCUGCCCUGUGACUAUACGUUUAACGGCCGCGGUAUUUUGACCGUGCGAAGGUAGCGCAAUCACUUGUCUUUUAAAUGGAGACCUGUAUGAAUGGCACAACGAGGGCUUAACUGUCUCCUUUUUCAGGUCAAUGAAAUUGAUCUUCCCGUGCAGAAGCGGGAAUACCACCAUAAGACGAGAAGACCCUAUGGAGCUUUAGACACCAGAGCAGACCAUGCACUUUCCCCCACAAAGAACGAAAAGAGCUAGAUGACCCCUGCCCUAAUGUCUUCGGUUGGGGCGACCACGGGGAAGGAAAAAACCCCCGCACGGACCAGGUAGACACUACCUAAAAACAAGAGCCACAGCUCUAAUUGACAGAACUUCUGGCCAACAGAUCCGGCAACGCCGAUUAAUGGACCAAGUUACCCUAGGGAUAACAGCGCAAUCCCCUUUUAGAGCCCAUAUCGACAAGGGGGUUUACGACCUCGAUGUUGGAUCAGGACAUCCUAAUGGUGCAGCCGCUAUUAAGGGUUCGUUUGUUCAACGAUUAAAGUCCU
This 572-nucleotide ribosomal RNA is filed under the name Aporops bilinearis (blotched podge). Its description in RNAcentral is "partial 16S ribosomal RNA". It matches the Rfam family "Bacterial large subunit ribosomal RNA", at positions 1816 to 2597 of the family's 2925-position model. Lineage: Eukaryota; Metazoa; Chordata; Actinopteri; Perciformes; Serranidae. The record is from RNAcentral.